RNAcentral lists this ribosomal RNA (351 nucleotides) under uncultured bacterium. RNAcentral's name for it is "bacterial SSU rRNA". It matches the Rfam family "Bacterial small subunit ribosomal RNA", at positions 917 to 1271 of the family's 1533-position model. The record is from RNAcentral.
GGGCCCGCACAAGCGGUGGAGCAUGUGGUUUAAUUCGAUGAUACGCGAGGAACCUUACCAGGGCUUAAAUGUAGUGGGACAGGUCUAGAGAUAGACCCUUCUUCGGACUCAUUACAAGGUGCUGCAUGGUUGUCGUCAGCUCGUGCCGUGAGGUGUCAGGUUAAGUCCUAUAACGAGCGCAACCCCUAUCGUUAGUUGCCAGCGAGUAAUGUCGGGAACUCUAACGAAACUGCCAGUGCAAACUGUGAGGAAGGUGGGGAUGACGUCAAAUCAUCACGGCCCUUACGUCCUGGCCACACACGUGCUACAAUGGUAGUGACAGAGGGCAGCCACUGGGUGACCAGGAGCGAA